RNAcentral lists this long non-coding RNA (6947 nucleotides) under Citrus sinensis (sweet orange). RNAcentral describes it as "long non-coding RNA (CSIN_LNC001621)". The record is from RNAcentral. Lineage: Eukaryota; Viridiplantae; Streptophyta; Magnoliopsida; Sapindales; Rutaceae.
GUGAACAUUAGCAGUGGGGAUGAAUUACACGUGAUCUGACUCCUACUUGCAUUUGCCGACUGAGUUGGUGCUGAUGCAGGACAUUCAAGACCUCGCUUCCCUUCCUGACACUCACUGGCAAAAAGACCAGGAGGGUAUUUCCCAUACAGGUUAAUGUAGCUGAACAUGGUUGUAGCGCAGUCUGUCGUCAAGUCAUUAAUCUGAUCCGCAUAAGGACAAGCAAAUUCCUUAAAAGCACUACAGCAUUUGUCAGGUGGAAACUGGGGUCCUUUGCAUUUGCUUGUGAUGAUUGUGUAGUUCAGAAACUCGAAAUUCACGGGGCAUGCUGCAGAUAAGGCAAGCCAAUGUAUCAUUAUUCAAAUGUGCUCAAUCAACUAAGAGAGCGACAUACAUUAAUUAACUAUGUUCUCCAUAAUAAAAGGGAACGAAAAAGAUCACAUAAAUGAAAGACAAGCAAGCAGUCAUUGGAUUAGGACCAUAUUUUCUUUCUUUCUCAUAACAGUGUCCUUGAUCAGAAGGAUUCAGGAACAAUGCAAAUUAUAGCUAAUCAGAGCAGGCAAAAGGUGUGCAAAAUAAGUGCUUCACUUGGGCUAAAAUUUUAAACUCACCUUAGGCAUACCUUUCACCUUUUCUUCCCUAUAAUCAAUACAAUCAUUUUAUGUUAUUCUCAUCUUUGCUCUUUCUUUCUCCUUAUAUGCUUCAUAGGAUUACAUGUGUAUGCAUGUAGCUAAGGAAGUCUCCAGAACAGAACUAAUCGAUAAUUGCAAUGACAACCAGCGAAGAUAUUGAAAAUCAAGUCCAAAGGUUGUGUGAACAAUGGUUUUGCUUAAAAUUUGCAUCAGUAUAGCGUUUAGCUUAUGACUCACUAUUACCUUUAGGAGACUGUUAAGUUAUUUCAUCCUUUCAUCUUAGGUCAAUCAAAUUAUUGACAAAGAAUUCCAAAAGUACUUUCUAGUAUAUUACUACUUGCUGUAAAGCAGUUGAUAUAUUCAGAUAAGCCGCAAAGUAAUGUGCCAGUGUUAUCUUUAGAAUUGAGUCAACCUUGUGGUUCACUCAAAAUCUAACAAUCGGGUUAUUCUAAACAGCUGAAGCAAUUUCAUCCAUACGGGCAAUAUCAACAUGUCAAUUUUCAAAGUCAUUCACUUGCUUAAAUUGGCAUGUUUUUAUAACCAAGAACAAUGAGACAUAUAUGUUUAUCACUCUGUUAUUAUCGUAAUGCAGUUGUAUUUAGAAGUUCAACUGUAUGCAAAAUCCAUGACGCCAACACAGAUGUAACUCUUACAAGUAGUUGUGGGACUGAUUAAGCAAGAUUAAAAACUAAGACGGAAGGAAAUCCCAAUAAUAACAGAGAAUUUUGCUUCUUCCAGCACUCUAUUUAAUAUCUUGUUUCUGUUUUUGCCAUGGUUUUCACUAAAACUCCUAUCUUCCUCCAUAACAGAAUUAAUUGAAUGAAAAAAAAAAAGACCAUUUGGGCAAAUGACAGAAAAUAGAAACUUAGAGAUCUUAGAUCUCACAUAAAUAUGCAUCACAAAAUUAUGGCAAAAAGCUAAUCAAAAGAAGAACAAUUAAUUAGGAUAUAUGAAAUCAACAAAAAUCAAACCUUUCUUAGCCUGGAGAAGAUUUCUGCCAGUAAAAGCGUGCGAUUCAAAGAUACCAUCUGCAUCCAACUCAAGAACAUAUAUUUCACUACCAAACAAAAUCCCAAGUAGCAUAAAUAUAACUUUAAGAAUAGAAAAACCUUAAAUUACCUGAAAUGAAAGUUGCAGAAGACAAACCCAUCAAAAUAAACAAAAGAAAAAUAGAUAGAAACACUCUGUUGAACUCCACCAUUUCUCUCACAGCACCAGAAAAGAUCCAAUUUUUUUUGUGCUCCCACCUAUUCUCUUCAAAAAAGAUAGAAGCUUUUUACACGCUUGUACAAAACCAGUAUGCAACAGACAGCGACGGAGCAGAUUUGAAUGAGUUUAAAGAUUUAUAACAUGUCGUGAUGAUUUUGUAAUAAAAAGACAAGGAGCUGUCGUCUUAGUAGUAGUUGCUGGCUCUUGGAUUACAACCCAUAAAAACGCGGAAACCGGGAUUUUUUUUUAAUUUAAUUUUUAUUUUUCUUUUGAGUUUUUGUUACUGUCAUUAAUUUUUAUUUUUUGGUUUUUGGCUACAGAAACUGUUGUGACUGGUGACUAUUACUGUUACUUUAACCAUGUUAUCAGUUACCGUUGUGUAUUGCAGUCUGCAAAGCAAAGACCCGACAGUUUACCGUUAAUAUCGGUUUCAACCGCUCCAAUUUUCAUCCGAGAUAUUUUUCUGUUGUUAAUUUUAUUUUGAUUCCUCGUUAAAGGUUCUAUCAGAUAAAUUUGGGCUAAUGUUUCAAAAAAAAAAAGUAAAAAAGAAAAAAGAAAAAAAUGGGCUGCCUUCUCGAGUGUGGUUGAAAAUUGUACACAAUUUGUUUUUUCUUUGAGAAAAAAAAUAAUAAUAUUACAAUCUAUUGACAAAUUGUAACAUUAGUGCCAGACAUAUUAUAACACUCCAAAUCUAACAUGUGCGGAGCACAUGAAGAAGAAGGUUAUUUAUAAAUCGUAAUCUUUACUCAUAAAUUUCAAAUUGAAAUAUCUCAAAUUCUUAUUCAAAUAAAUCCACAAAUUCAUAUAUUUAACACUAAAUAAUCUCUCCCAAAACAAAACAUAAAUUUCAAGUUCAUAACAGAAAUAAAAUAAAAAGAACAUGUGUCUAUUCCUCCUUUUAUUCAAAUAGCAAAUGAAAACAAAAUCUCUAACUCCAAAGCGAAGCACACAUUUCAAAAGGAACUUAAUUUGCAAAAAAGUAAUGACAAGGGGUGAGCCGUCAACUCGGUAAGUAAAACAAUUCCUAACACACUAGGCCUAUUGAUACUAAAAAUAUUACAAGCCUUCUUUUAUUUAAAAACACAUAUCAUAAUCCAUAAAUUUUAUAAAACGAUAUAUCACGAUAAAAUAACAUAAAUUCAUUGUAUCUCAAAAUAUCAAAAGCAUAGUUAUUUACGAAAGCAAAUCAUAUAUCACAUUCACAAAAAAAUAAAAGGUUAGCUCAUGUCACAUAGUGUCACCUAUAGUCUCGGUGACUCGGCCAGAAACAAAAUCAGAAUAUCGUGUGCACACUCAGAACAGAAACCUAGUACUGAUCUAGAACAGACAUAUAUCAUAUUAUACGAUCAGAAUAAAAAACAGAAUAACUACGGACAAUAAGCCAAAACACAAUGACUUAUACGUGACACUUUGCACUAUAUGUGGCACUUUGCGACGCUUUGACCUUCAAGAGGUGUCCCCCAUACAGUCCCAAGAGGUGGCCCACGUACAAUCAUAAAUAAUUAAAAUCAUACAUAGGCACAAAACAUUCUUAUCGGAUUCAUAAAAGUUCAUAACAAUAAUUUAGGCUUGCAAAUUAUUUUAUAGAUAAAAUCAUAAAAGGUAGUCACAUCAUAAAAUAAUUUACAUAUUAAAAAACAUUUAUAAAAAUACUUUGUUAAAAAGAAUUUAGGUUUGAAAAUAUUUACAUAAAACUAAUUUUGUUAUCAAAAUCAAUUAAUCAUUUAAGUAGUAUAAAAACAUUUAUACUUAUAAUAAUAAUAUCAAAAUACUUAUACAUAUCCAGUAUACUAGGAAUGAAGUUACUUAUCUCGACAAAAUAAUUUGAAUUAACAAACCUCUAUGCCUCCAAGAGUCUCAAUCACCUCCAACACCUUAAACAAAUACAAGGCAUGACAAUUAAUAACUUAUUCUAAGAACAUAAUUUUUCUAAUUCAUAUCUGUACAGGUCUGAUGCUCAGAAUUUUAACUCUUAAUCUAAAACUAAGAAUGACAUAAUAUUCUACAAGGCUAUUCUGGACAUCCAUAGGCACCUCAUGUAAUAUUUCCACUCAUAAGCAAUUCUAAUCAAAUUAUCCCAAAUCUCCUAAGGGUAUUUAAGUCUUUUUAGAUUUUAGUAAUCCUUUUUACCCUAGUAUAAAUAGAAUGAGAUGUCUUUCCCCAUCAUAAGAGAGAGGGAAAGAGAAAUGGUUGAGGAAAAAAAAAGAACGACAAAAUAAAGAGAGAGAGAGAGAGAGAUGGAGAGAAAAGAAAAGAAAAAGAGAAGAAGAAAGUCUUCUUCUUCUUAGUUUUGCCAUAUGGAACACAUGAGAUCAAAUUGUUAUUGUUGGGAGAAGUUUUGAAGGUAAGUUUUAAUUAUUGGUUUCUAUUAAAUUGUUGUGGAGAAGCAUGAUUGUAAUAGAAGUAAAAAUCUCAAAUUUUACUGACCAUAUGCUGACACAUUGAAAAUUCAUUGAUAAAAAUUUCAUAGCAUAAUUCCUUCAAAAACUAUUGAAAAUAAUUGACGUUUCAGACAUCAUCAAUACUGUCAAAUAAUUUUUUGUUUUGAACACAAUUGUUUUAAAAAUACAAAACAAUUUAUUGCUUUAUCAUAAAAUCAUGAAAAUUAACAGAAUCAUACUAGACAUAUAUAAAAAUCAUUGAUCCAAAUUUCAUAAUUUUCGAAGAAGUCUAGCUAUGGUAAAAAUAAUUUCGUAAUUCACGUUAUUCAUUAAAAUCAUAAAUUUCUAGGUUUUCAGACUUGAUUUUGAAAGAUCAUAAUUAAUUGAAAUCUUAUCCGAUUAACUUGAAACAAGUUUCAAAACGUUCUAAACGAUAUCUAGUUUAACAUACCCAAAAAUAAGAAUAAAAAAUCAAUUUGUAUAAAUUAUUAUAAUUUUCGUAAUAAUUUACUAUCAGCAUAUUUCUACAAAAUCUUAGGUUUCUACUUCUAUUGCAAUCAUGCUUCUGCACAACAAUUUAAUAGAAACCAAUAAUUAAAACUUAUCUCCAAAACUUCUCCCAACAAUAACAACUUGAUCCCAUGUGUUGCCUAUGACAGAACUAAGAAAAAGAAGAAGAAGAUUUUCUUCUUCUUUUUUUCUUUUCUCUCUUUUCUCUCUAUCUUUCUCUCUCUCUCUCUCUUUUUUCUCUGUCGUUCUUUUUUUUUUUCCUCAACCGAUUUCUCUUGCUCUCUCCCUUAUGAUGGGGAAAGACAUCUUAUUACACAUAUCCCAUGGAUCUCACUCACUGUUUGUGUCCGUAUGGUAAAAAAAUUGCUCACAAUUAAUAAUCAGUUUCAAUCUUUCCUUAAAAUGUAAUGGCUUGUGCAAGAGAUUCUUUCUUGUACUGGUAUGUUAUUGGUUUGACAGCUAGGAUUUGCCUGUCAAAGAAAUUGAAGACGGGAGGCUACUGUUGUCCGAUUGAUGAAGUCCAUUAAUAAAUGUAACUUGAUCAUUACAAGAACAAUAUUUUAUUUGUUAUAAAGCAAAUCUCAUUACGAGAUUGUAUGUUUAGAUAAAUACAAAAACGUCAAAAAAAUUUUAAAUUCUUAAUUGGGUUUUUUUAACGUGUGAUCUGCAUUUGCCGACUGAGUUGGUGCCGAUGCAGGACAUUCAAGACCUCGCUUCCCUUUCAGACACUCGCUGGCAAAAAGACCAGGAGGGUAUUUCCCAUACAGGUUAAUGUAGCUGAACAUGGUUGUAGCGCAGUCUGUCGUCAAGUCAUUAAUCUGAUCCGCAUAAGGACAAGCAAAUUCCUUAAAAGCACUACAGCAUUUGUCAGGUGGAAACUGGGGUCCUUUGCAUUUGCUUGUGAUGAUUGUGUAGUUCAGAAACUCGAAAUUCACGGGGCAUGCUGCAGAUAAGGCAAGCCAAUAUAUCAUUAUUCAAAUGUGCUCACUCAACUAAGAGAGCGACAUACAUUAAUUAACUAUGUUCUCCAUAAUAAAAGGGAACGAAAAAGAUCACAUAAAUGAAAGACAAGCAAGCAUUCAUCGGAUUAGGACCAUAUUUUCCUUCUUUCUCAUAACAGAGUCCUUGAUCUGAAGGAUUCAGGAACAAUGCAAAUUAUAGCUAAUCAGAGCAGGCAAAAGGUGUGCAAAACAAGUGCUUCACUUUGGCUAAAAUUUUAAACUCACCUUAGGCAUACCUUUCACCUUUUCUUCCCUAUAAUCAAUACAAUCAUUUUAUGUUAUUCUCAUCUUUGCUCUUUCUUUCUCCUUAUAUGCUUCAUAGGAUUACAUGUGUAUGCAUGUAGCUAAGGAAGUCUCCAGAACAGAACUAAUCGAUAAUUGCAAUGACAACCAGCGAAGAUAUUGAAAAUCAAGUCCAAAGGUUGUGUGAACAAUGGUUUUGCUUAAAAUUUGCAUCAGUAUAGCGUUUAGCUUAUGACUCACUAUUACCUUUAGGAGACUGUUAAGUUAUUUCAUCCUUUCAUCUUAGGUCAAUCAAAUUAUUGACAAAGAAUUCCAAAAGUACUUUCUAGUAUAUUACUACUUGCUGUAAAGCAGUUGAUAUAUUCAGAUAAGCCGCAAAGUAAUGUGCCAGUGUUAUCUUUAGAAUUGAGUCAACCUUGUGGUUCACUCAAAAUCUAACAAUCGGGUUAUUCUAAACAGCUGAAGCAAUUUCAUCCAUACGGGCAAUAUCAACAUGUCAAUUUUCAAAGUCAUUCACUUGCUUAAAUUGGCAUGUUUUUAUAACCAAGAACAAUGAGACAUAUAUGUUUAUCACUCUGUUAUUAUCGUAAUGCAGUUGUAUUUAGAAGUUCAACUGUAUGCAAAAUCCAUGACGCCAACAAAGAUGUAACUCUUACAAGUAGUUGUGGGACUGAUUAAGCAAGAUUAAAAACUAAGACGGAAGGAAAUCCCAAUAAUAACAGAGAAUUUUGCUUCUUCCAGCACUCUAUUUAAUAUCUUGUUUCUGUUUUUGCCAUGGUUUUCACUAAAACUCCUAUCUUCCUCCAUAACAGAAUUAAUUGAAUGAAAAAAAAAAAGACCAUUUGGGCAAAUGACAGAAAAUAGAAACUUAGAGAUCUUAGAUCUCACAUAAAUAUGCAUCACAAAAUUAUGGCAAAAAGCUAAUCAAAAGAAGAACAAUUAAUUAGGAUAUAUGAAAUCAACAAAAAUCAAAC